GACGGGACCGCACAAGCGUGGAUGAUGUGGUUAAUUCGAUGCAACGCGAAAACCUUACCACCUUUGACAUGGCAGGAAUCCUAAAGAGAUUUGGGAGUGCUCGAAAGAGAACCUGCACACAGGUGCUGCAUGGCUGUCGUCAGCUCGUGUCGUGAGAUGUUGGGUUAAGUCCCGCAACGAGCGCAACCCUUGCCAUUAGUUGCUACGAAAGGGCACUCUAAUGGGACUGCCGGUGACAAACCGGAGGAAGGUGGGGAUGACGUCAAGUCCUCAUGGCCCUUAUAGGUGGGGCUACACACGUCAUACAAUGGCCGGUACAGAGGGUAGCCAACCCGCGAGGGGGAGCCAAUCCCAAAAAGCCGCUCUCAGUUCGGAUUGCAGGCUGCAACUCGCCUGCAUGAAGCCGGAAUCGCUAGUAAUCGUGGAUCAGCAUGUCACGGUGAAUACGUUCCCGGGUCUU
Molecule: ribosomal RNA, 460 nt
Filed under: uncultured Allobrachymonas sp.
Lineage: Bacteria; Pseudomonadati; Pseudomonadota; Betaproteobacteria; Burkholderiales; Comamonadaceae
Description: bacterial SSU rRNA
Rfam family: Bacterial small subunit ribosomal RNA
Source: RNAcentral